RNA transcript from Daphnia carinata, 2074 nucleotides. RefSeq lists it as uncharacterized. The record is from RefSeq and is a predicted model, not a curated record. Lineage: Eukaryota; Metazoa; Arthropoda; Branchiopoda; Diplostraca; Daphniidae. The transcript is spliced from 12 exons.
CAAAGCGUGGCUGGAGGAACAAUUGAAAAAUGGAUAAGAUAAUACAACAAAAGGAUGAUCAAAUUAUGAAGCUGCAGGCCCAAUUAUUGGAACAACACAAAAUAUUAGAUAACAGCAAAGCUAAGGAUGCUCAAAUUUUGAGUCUACAAGCUCAGCUAGGGGAGAAGAACAAAUUGGAACGGAACAGUUUCCAAACAGUGAAGGAGGUUUUUCCAAACUCAUCCCUAACUGAACGUGAGGAUGAAUUGGCAUUAGGCGAACACAGUCAGUUAUUCAGUCCACCAUCAGACAGUGCGUUAAAUUUAAAUUCUGUUAGUGCUGCACUAAAAGAAUUGUUCGUAAUCAGUCCAUGCAGCGAUGGAACUGAACAAUUGUGGGACCGUAUUUGGGCUGAAAAUGGGUGUGGUACGGAAACCCAGAAAUGGCACGAGUUCAACCUAAAACAUGGAUUAGAAUUUUAGCGGGGGAUCAAGUCAAAUAUGGAAGUGUUACAGGAUGGAAGAGUCAGCCUGUAGUUGAAAAAACACAGAGUGCAUUACCGUUAAGGUGUGAGCAAUCCUUUAUAGUUCUGUCACAGCUAGAAGCCUCAAAUAAUUCUGCUUCUCUUGCUAAAGAACAACUUGUCCUUUACGUUCACAGUGUUGGUGAAACUGGGUACUUAAAUGGCCCUAAGAUUUUGCUGCCGUUGCAGAGAUGAACAUCAUACAUGGACUCUUUAGGAAAGGAUUUUCAGCAUACUGGGAACACAACUAUCAACAAUGCAACAUUCUACGCGUGCUAUUUUAUCAUUCAAGAGCCUUAUACAAUGAUUUUCAUCUGCAAUUUGUAUGGCCUUUCCCAAGCUUCUGCCAGAAGUUGAAUCUAUAAGUCAUGUAAGUCACAUGAGCAACAAUUGAGAUGCUUAAUGGUGUUGUUUUUCUUUUCUCAGCAUAGGUUAAUAGUAACGUGGAUGGAGAGAAUAACGCGUGGCUGGAGGAACAAUUGAAAAAUGGAUAAGAUAAUACAACAAAAGGAUGAUCAAAUUAUGAAGCUGCAGGCCCAAUUAUUGGAACAACACAAAAUAUUAGAUAACAGCAAAGCUAAGGAUGCUCAAAUUUUGAGUCUACAAGCUCAGCUAGGGGAAAAGAACAAAUUGGAAUGGAACAGUUUCCAAACAGUGAAGGAGGUUUUUCCAAACUCAUCCCUAACUGAACAUGAGGAUGAAUUGGCAUUAGGCGAACACAGUCAGUUAUUCAGUCUACCACCUGACAGUGUGUUAAAGUUAAAUUCUGUUAGUGCUGCACUAAAAGAAUUGUUAGUAAUAAGUCAAUGCAGCGAAGGAAUUGAACAAUUGUGGGAUCGUAUUUGGGCUGAAAAUAGGUGUGGUACGGAAACCCAGAAAUAGCAUGAGUUCAACAUAAAACAUGAAUUAGAAUUCUAGUGGGGAAUCAAGUCAAGUCUAGAAGUGUUACAGGAUGGAAGAGUGAGCCUACAGUUGAAAAACACUGAAAGUGCAUUACCAUUAAGGUAUGAGGUAAAGUAAUAGAGUAUGCAAAUUGUCUAAUGAGAAGUACCAUCUUGUGUGAAUGAAUCCUGUGUAACAGCAAUCCUUUAUAGUUCUGUUAUAGCUAGAAGCCUCAAAUAAUUCUGCUUCUCUUGCUAAAGAACAACUUGUCCUUUACACUCAGAGUGUUGGUGAAGCUGGGUACUUAAAUGGCCCUAAAGAUGUUUCACUUCACUGGCAUUGCAGCGAUGAACAUCAUACAUGGACUCUUUAGGUCUUAUCUACAAAAAAAAAUUUAUCCAAUAGGAAAGGAUUUUCAGCAUACUGGGAACACAACUAUCAACAAUGCAACAUUCUAGGGGUGUUAUUUUAUCCUUCAAGAGCCUUAUACAAUGAUUUUUAUCUACAAUUUGUAUGGCCUUUCCCGAGCUUCUGCCAGAAGUUGAAUCUAUGAGUCAUGUAAGUCACAUGAGCAACAAUUGAGAUGCUUAAUGGUGUUGUUUUUCUUUUCUCAGUGUAGGUUAAUAGUAACAUUGGAUCUGAAAAAAUUCUUGGUUGGGGCAUGACACUGAAUAAAUUGUAAUGAUUGGA